GAAAUGCGAUAAGUAAUGUGAAUUGCAGAAUUCAGUGAAUCAUCGAGUCUUUGAACGCACAUUGCGCCCCCUGGCAUUCCGGGGGGCAUGCCCGUUCGAGCGUCAUUACACCCAUCAAGCCUCGCUUGGUAUUGGGCCCCGGGGGUGACCCGGGCCCCCAUGUCUCCGGCGGGAGCGUCCCGAGCCCAGCGUUGUGGCACUACCGUGUUCGCUGGCGGCGACGGGCCUCUCAUGCCGUUAAACCCACCUUCUCAAGGUUGACCUCGGAUCGGGUAGGGAUACCCGCUGAACUUAA
This 295-nucleotide unclassified non-coding RNA is filed under the name uncultured Hortaea. RNAcentral describes it as "sequence contains ITS1". The stretch from base 1 to 105 matches the Rfam family "5.8S ribosomal RNA", at positions 50 to 154 of the family's 154-position model. The record is from RNAcentral. Lineage: Eukaryota; Fungi; Ascomycota; Dothideomycetes; Dothideales; Dothioraceae.